This 372-nucleotide ribosomal RNA is filed under the name uncultured organism. Its description in RNAcentral is "bacterial SSU rRNA". It matches the Rfam family "Bacterial small subunit ribosomal RNA", at positions 526 to 896 of the family's 1533-position model. The record is from RNAcentral.
CAGAGGGGGCAAGCGUUAUUCGGAAUUAUUGGGCGUAAAGGGCGCGUAGGCGGCCAUUCAAGUGACGGGUGAAAGCCCUCGGCUUAACCGAGGAACUGCCUGUCAGACUGGAUGGCUUGAGACCGGGAGAGGUGAGUGGAAUUCCCAGUGUAGCGGUGAAAUGCGUAGAUAUUGGGAGGAACACCAGUGGCGAAGGCGGCUCACUGGACCGGAACUGACGCUGAGGCGCGAAAGCGUGGGGAGCAAACAGGAUUAGAUACCCUGGUAGUCCACGCCGUAAACGAUGAGUGCUUGGUGUAGCGGGUAUCGACCCCAGCUGUGCCGAAGUCAACACAUUAAGCACUCCGCCUGGGGAGUACGGUCGCAAGACUG